GCCUUUGUGGUUUAACGGUUAACACACUUGCCGCGAAUUCGAGAGGUCCAGGGUUCGAGUCCCGGCGAGGGCA
This 73-nucleotide transfer RNA is filed under the name Stegodyphus mimosarum. It matches the Rfam family "tRNA". From Rfam's summary of the family: Transfer RNA (tRNA) molecules are approximately 80 nucleotides in length. Their secondary structure includes four short double-helical elements and three loops (D, anti-codon, and T loops). The record is from Rfam by way of RNAcentral. Lineage: Eukaryota; Metazoa; Arthropoda; Arachnida; Araneae; Eresidae.